This 253-nucleotide ribosomal RNA is filed under the name uncultured bacterium. RNAcentral describes it as "partial 16S ribosomal RNA". It matches the Rfam family "Bacterial small subunit ribosomal RNA", at positions 524 to 776 of the family's 1533-position model. The record is from RNAcentral.
UACAGAGGGGGCAAGCGUUAUUCGGAAUUAUUGGGCGUAAAGGGCGCGUAGGCGGCCUGGCAAGUGGAAGGUGAAAUCCCUCGGCUUAACCGAGGAACUGCCCUCCAAACUGCUUGGCUUGAGUCCGGGAGAGGUGAGUGGAAUUCCCAGUGUAGCGGUGAAAUGCGUAGAUAUUGGGAGGAACACCAGUGGCGAAGGCGGCUCACUGGACCGGAACUGACGCUGAGGUGCGAAAGCGUGGGGAGCGAACGGG